AUUAUAGUGGCAGACUAGUGCAAUAGAUUUAAAAUCUAUAUAUGAGAGAACUCUCCUUUAAUU
This 63-nucleotide transfer RNA is filed under the name Myrianida brachycephala. RNAcentral's name for it is "tRNA-Ser". Lineage: Eukaryota; Metazoa; Annelida; Polychaeta; Phyllodocida; Syllidae. The record is from RNAcentral.